Molecule: ribosomal RNA, 2406 nt
Filed under: Triticum aestivum (bread wheat)
Lineage: Eukaryota; Viridiplantae; Streptophyta; Magnoliopsida; Poales; Poaceae
Description: partial small subunit ribosomal RNA
Source: RNAcentral
AUGUCAGAAGAUUUUGCAUUCAUGCAUUGCAUUAAAAGUGAAGACAUGAACGCUUCUCUAUUAGUGCACACCCCUGCGGGCCAAUGUCGAACCUCCAUGAUUUGCAACGACGUCCUCGUAGAAAUCGAAGGACUGGAAUUCCUUGUCUCUCCCAUCAUACUGAAGUCCUGUAGCAUUGAUCUCAUUCUGGGAAUGAAUUGGUUAAAAGCGCAUACUGCUUCUAUCGUUUGCGCCACCAAGACCGUCCAUCUGCUACACCCUUCUGAUGAGAUAAUAAGCUAUAAUGCCCAUCUGGUUAAGAAUGCCGAGGUAAGGCUCUAUGCAUUGAAUGCAUUGAACGCCGCACCACUCGAGGGCAUUGAAAACAUUCCCGUCGUGCGUGACUUCCUCGACGUCUUUCCAGAAGAACUCCCAGGGAUUCCCCCUGCUAGAGCUGUCGAAUUCGUCAUCGACUUGAAACCAGGCACCACUCCUAUAGCCAAGCGACCCUACAAGAUGCCGCCGCAUGAACUCCUUGAGCUUAAAGAGGAAAUCGAUAAAUCUCUUCGAAGUGGUUUCAUUCGUCCAAGUUGCUCUCCUUGGGGAGCACCUUCUCUCUUUGUCAAGAAGAAAGAUGGGACAAACCGAUUGGUCCAAGACUACCGUCCUAUAAAUCAAGCUACCAUUCAGAAUAAGUAUCCUCUUCCUCGGAUCAAUGAUCUGUAUGAUCAACUGGCUGGUUCAUCAGUGUUCUCUAAACUCGACUUGAGGUUGGGUUACCACCAGAUCCGUGUUCGUGAGGAGGAUAUCCCCAAGACCGCCUUUGUGACUCGUUAUGGUUCAUAUGAGUACACCGUCAUGUCUUUCGGCUUAACCAAUGCUCCAGCCACCUUCUCUCGCCUGAUGAACUAUAUAUUCAUGGAUUACCUCGACAAGUUCGUCGUGGUUUACCUGGAUGAUAUCCUGAUAUUUUCCAAGAAUGAAGAAGAACAUGCUGAACAUCUUCGUCUUGUGCUGGAAAAGCUACGAGAGCAUCAGCUAUAUGCCAAGUUCUCCAAGUGUGAAUUCUGGCUUCCCGAAGUAACCUAUCUCGGGCAUGUCAUCUCUAAGGAUGGUAUUGCCGUCAACCCUGAACGAGUUCAGGCUAUUCUCGAUUGGACUCCUCCGAAGAAUGUCAAGCAAGUCAGAAGUUUUCUCGGUCUCGCCAGCUAUUGCCAUCGAUUCGUCGAGAACUUCUCCAAGAUUGCCAGGCCUCUGACUAACCUGUUGCAUAAGGGCGUCAAGUUCCAAUGGACAGAUAAAUGUCAGGAAAGUUUCCAGGCACUCAAAGACAAGUUGACUUCUGCCCCAGUACUAGCUCCUCCUGAUACUAAGAAGGACUUCAUCAUUUACUGCAACGCUUCCCGUCAAGGAUUAGGCUGUGUCCUAAUGCAAGAGCGCAAAGUGAUUGCUUAUGCCUCUCGGCAAUUGCGCCCUCACGAAGAGAACUACCCAGUUCACGACCUCGAACUUGCUGCUGUCAUUCAUGCACUGAAACAGUGGCGACAUUACCUUCUCGGUAAUCGUUGCGAGAUCUUCACUGACCACCAAAGUCUGAAGUAUCUGUUUACUCAGCCAGACCUGAACCUCCGUCAGCAGAGAUGGAUGGAGACUGUUGCAGACUUUGACUUGGGUAUUUCCUAUACACCAGGCAAGGCUAAUGUAAUGGCUGAUGCCUUGAGCCGCAAGUCUUACUGCAACCACCUCCAGGUUCACAAAGUUCAGCCCUCACUCGUUGAAGAAUUCAGAAAGCUGAACCUCCAUAUUGUUCCUCCGGGUGCACUCGCUCCCCCUCCUCCGGAGUUACGCAAGAUGAACCUCCAUGUUGUUUCCAGGGGUUCUCUCAAUACCCUGGUUGCGAAACCAGAUCUUGUGGACACCAUCAAAUGGAUACAGAAAUGUGACGAUGAAGUCGAGAGGAUUAAACGUUAUCUCGCAGAAGGAAAGCCCUCAUUCUUCACUGUGGAUGACGCAGGCACCCUAUUCUUCAAAGGUCGCCUAGUGGUACCGAGUAAGAGGGAAAACCUGAAUCUGACUCCAAAAGUUAUGAAAGAAGCUCAUGAUACGCCUUUGUCUAUUCAUCCCGGUAGCACCAAGAUGUACCAAGACAUUCGUCAGAGAUUCUGGUGGUCUAACAUGAAGCAAGACAUUGCUCGUUAUGUUGCUGAAUGUGACGUUUGCCGUCGUAUCAAAGCAGAACAUCAAAGGCCUGCUGGAACUCUGCAACCUAUAUCUAUUCCUGAAUGGAAAUGGGACCAUGUCGAGAUGGACUUCGUUACUGGAUUUCCCAAAUCGCAAAAGGGUAAUGAUGCUAUUCUUGUCGUCAUUGACCGGCUUUCUAAGGUUGCCCACUUUCUGGCAGUCAAAGAAACGAUCACUGCUAGUUAG